Molecule: long non-coding RNA, 393 nt
Filed under: Oncorhynchus kisutch (coho salmon)
Lineage: Eukaryota; Metazoa; Chordata; Actinopteri; Salmoniformes; Salmonidae
Description: lncRNA (ENSOKIG00005031904.1)
Source: RNAcentral
AUGAUGAGGACUCUGAGGAAGAGGAGAUGGACACCACCCCGGCACCCGCAGCAAAGAAAGCAGGCAUGGUCAAGGCUAAGGAGGAGUCUGAUGAUGAAGAUGAUGACGAAGACUAUGAUGAAGAUGGAAGUUUGGCUACGUAGAAGGACGGAGGACAUGCAGACGGCCUUGGAGCUGAACGGCAAGAAGUUCAUGGGACAGGAGUUGAAGAUGGGGAAGGCCCGCAGCAAAGGGAACUACCAGGAGGAAAAAGAUGAAAACACAUGUCCGGGUAAAGUGUAUACAUCUGGGUCGGAUAAAACGGCUACUUCUGGUCUGCUCGUGUUGACAUCCACUGAUAUCUUGCCACGUAAAGAUCUUGAACAAGAGGUGUGGGCCAGACUUUCAGGAUGA